AAAAACGCAUUGAAGAGGAAAGUACAAGAUGGCGCGUGUUUAGAGAGCAUCGUUUGCUGAAAAGAUGCCACGACAAAAUCAAGGAAAAUGGCCUCGGAGCGGGUCGCGCAAAAUGAGCGUGACAACGGUCAGCUGCCUGUUAGCGCAGCGCAUUUUUGCUUAAGGCAGAAGUGGCUAAGUGGCAAUUUCUAGAAUUGCAAUUAAGGUGGUACCGCGCUCAAGCGUCCUUUUU
Molecule: non-coding RNA, 232 nt
Filed under: Loigolactobacillus coryniformis
Lineage: Bacteria; Bacillati; Bacillota; Bacilli; Lactobacillales; Lactobacillaceae
Description: Lactobacillus coryniformis T-box sequence
Rfam family: T-box leader
About the family: Uncharged tRNA acts as the effector for transcription antitermination of genes in the T-box leader family. T-boxes are found upstream of many aminoacyl-tRNA synthetase genes and some amino acid biosynthetic genes usually in Gram-positive bacteria. The anticodon of a specific tRNA base pairs to a specifier sequence within the T-box motif, and the NCCA acceptor tail of the tRNA base pairs to a conserved bulge in the T-box antiterminator hairpin.
Source: RNAcentral